This 492-nucleotide ribosomal RNA is filed under the name uncultured bacterium. RNAcentral describes it as "partial 16S ribosomal RNA". It matches the Rfam family "Bacterial small subunit ribosomal RNA", at positions 29 to 507 of the family's 1533-position model. The record is from RNAcentral.
AGUGAACGCUGGCGGUAGGCCUAACACAUGCAAGUCGAACGGCAGCACAGUAAGAGCUUGCUCUUACGGGUGGCGAGUGGCGGACGGGUGAGGAAUACAUCGGAAUCUACUUUUUCGUGGGGGAUAACGUAGGGAAACUUACGCUAAUACCGCAUACGACCUACGGGUGAAAGCAGGGGAUCUUCGGACCUUGCGCGAUUGAAUGAGCCGAUGUCGGAUUAGCUAGUUGGCGGGGUAAAGGCCCACCAAGGCGACGAUCCGUAGCUGGUCUGAGAAGAUGAUCAGCCACACUGGAACUGAGACACGGUCCAGACUCCUACGGGAGGCAGCAGUGGGGAAUAUUGGACAAUGGGCGCAAGCCUGAUCCAGCCAUACCGCGUGGGUGAAGAAGGCCUUCGGGUUGUAAAGCCCUUUUGUUGGGAAAGAAAAGCAGCAGGUUAAUACCCCGCUGUUCUGACGGUACCCAAAGAAUAGGCACCGGCUAACUUCGUG